AACGAACGCUGGCGGCAGGCCUAACACAUGCAAGUCGAACGAACCGUUUACGGUGAGUGGCGCACGGGUGAGCAACACGUGGGAAUAUACAUUUCGGUAAGGAAUAACGUAGAGAAAUUUACGCUAAUACCUUAUAAUGACUACGGUCCAAAGAUUUAUCGCCGAAGGCGUAGCCCGCGUUAGAUUAGGUAGUUGGUAGGGUAAUGGCCUACCAAGCCUACGAUCUAUAGCUGGUCUUAGAGGAUGAUCAGCCACACUGGAACUGAGACACGGUCCAGACUCCUACGGGAGGCAGCAGUGAGGAAUAUUGCGCAAUGGGGGAAACCCUGACGCAGCCAUGCCGCGUGAGUGACGAAGGCCUUAGGGUUGUAAAGCUCUUUCAGAUGUAAAGAUAAUGACGGUAACAUCAGAAGAAGCUCCGGCUAAAUUCGUGCCAGCCGCCGCGGUAA
This 449-nucleotide ribosomal RNA is filed under the name uncultured bacterium. RNAcentral describes it as "partial 16S ribosomal RNA". It matches the Rfam family "Bacterial small subunit ribosomal RNA", at positions 29 to 523 of the family's 1533-position model. The record is from RNAcentral.